This 492-nucleotide ribosomal RNA is filed under the name uncultured bacterium. Its description in RNAcentral is "partial 16S ribosomal RNA". It matches the Rfam family "Bacterial small subunit ribosomal RNA", at positions 29 to 507 of the family's 1533-position model. The record is from RNAcentral.
AGUGAACGCUGGCGGUAGGCCUAACACAUGCAAGUCGAACGGCAGCACAGUAAGAGCUUGCUCUUACGGGUGGCGAGUGGCGGACGGGUGAGGAAUACAUCGGAAUCUACUUUUUCGUGGGGGAUAACGUAGGGAAACUUACGCUAAUACCGCAUACGACCUACGGGUGAAAGCAGGGGAUCUUCGGACCUUGCGCGAUUGAAUGAGCCGAUGUCGGAUUAGCUAGUUGGCGGGGUAAAGGCCCACCAAGGCGACGAUCCGUAGCUGGUCUGAGAGGAUGAUCAGCCACACUGGAACUGAGACACGGUCCAGACUCCUCCGGGAGGCAGAAGUGGGAAAUAUUGGACAAUGGGCGCAAGCCUGAUCCAGCCAUACCGCGUGGGUGAAGAAGGCCUUCGGGUUGUAAAGCCUUUUUGUUGGGAAAGAAAAGCAGCGGGUUAAUACCCCGCUGUUCUGACGGUACCAAAAGAAUAAGCACCGGCUAACUUCGUG